RNAcentral lists this ribosomal RNA (440 nucleotides) under uncultured bacterium. RNAcentral describes it as "partial 16S ribosomal RNA". It matches the Rfam family "Bacterial small subunit ribosomal RNA", at positions 338 to 795 of the family's 1533-position model. The record is from RNAcentral.
CCUACGGGAGGCAGCAGUGGGGAAUAUUGCACAAUGGGGGAAACCCUGAUGCAGCGACGCCGCGUGAGUGAAGAAGUAUUUCGGUACGUAAAGCUCUAUCAGCAGGGAAGAAAAUGACGGUACCUGACUCAGAAGCCCCGGCUAACUACGUGCCAGCAGCCGCGGUAAUACGUAGGGGGCAAGCGUUAUCCGGAUUUACUGGGUGUAAAGGGAGCGUAGACGGCAGCGCAAGUCUGGAGUGAAAUCCCAGGGCUUAACCAUGGAACUGCCUUGGAAACUGGGCAGCUGGAGUGCAGGAGAGGUAAGCGGAAUGCCUAGUGUAGCGGUGAAAUGCGUAGAUAUUAGGAGGAACACCAGUGGCGAAGGCGGCUUACUGGACUGUAACUGACGUUGAGGCUCGAAAGCGUGGGGAGCAAACAGGAUUAGAUACCCGAGUAGUC